UACGUAGGGGGCGAGCGUUGUCCGGAUUUAUUGGGCGUAAAGAGCGUGUAGGCGGUUGGGUAGGUCCGUUGUGAAAACUCGAGGCUCAACCUCGAGACGCCGAUGGAAACCCCCCAGCUAGAGUCCGGAAGAGGAGAGUGGAAUUCCUGGUGUAGCGGUGAAAUGCGCAGAUAUCAGGAAGAACACCGGUGGCGAAGGCGGGUCUCUGGGCCGAUAUUGACGCUGAGGAGCGAAAGCGUGGGGAGCGAACAGG
This 253-nucleotide ribosomal RNA is filed under the name uncultured bacterium. Its description in RNAcentral is "partial 16S ribosomal RNA". It matches the Rfam family "Bacterial small subunit ribosomal RNA", at positions 524 to 776 of the family's 1533-position model. The record is from RNAcentral.